UGGGGGCAACCCUGAUCCAGCAAUGCCGCGUGUGUGAAGAAGGCCUUCGGGUUGUAAAGCACUUUCGAUGGGGAAGAAAUACUUAAGGUUAAUACCCUUGAGGGUUGACGUUACCCAUAGAAGAAGCACUGGCUAACUCUGUGCCAGCAGCCGCGGUAAUACAGAGAGUGCAAGCGUUAAUCGGAAUUACUGGGCGUAAAGCGCACGUAGGUGGGCAUUUAAGUCGGAUGUGAAAGCCCCGGGCUUAACCUGGGAAUUGCAUCCGAUACUGGGUGCCUAGAGUAUGGUAGAGGGAAGUGGAAUUUCCGGUGUAGCGGUGAAAUGCGUAGAUAUCGGAAGGAACAUCAGUGGCGAAGGCGGCUUCCUGGACUAAUACUGACACUGAGGUGCGAAAGCGUGGGGAGCAAACAGGAUUAGAGACCCUGGUAGUCCACGCUGUCAACGAUGAGAACUAGACGUUGGGAGGUUACCUCUUAGUGUCGCAGCUAACGCGAUAAGUUCUCCGCCUGGGGAGUACGGCCGCAAGGUUAAAACUCAAAGGAAUUGACGGGG
This 552-nucleotide ribosomal RNA is filed under the name uncultured bacterium. RNAcentral's name for it is "bacterial SSU rRNA". It matches the Rfam family "Bacterial small subunit ribosomal RNA", at positions 372 to 918 of the family's 1533-position model. The record is from RNAcentral.